Long non-coding RNA from Vidua chalybeata, 346 nucleotides. RefSeq lists it as uncharacterized. NCBI's taxonomy places the organism in Eukaryota, Metazoa, Chordata, Aves, Passeriformes, Viduidae. The transcript is spliced from 2 exons. The record is from RefSeq and is a predicted model, not a curated record.
CCUAAGCACCACAUCCACAUGUCUUUUCAAUACCUCCAGAGUUGGGGACUGGACCACUUCCCUAAGCAGCCUGUUCCAUUCCUUGGCAAGCCUUUCAAGCUUUCAUGGUGUUGACCUGUGUGAGGAAUUCCAGCUCUUCAUGGAUCAAGGGAAGAUGGGACACCUUACAUUUUGCACUGAUUCUCACUGAAUUUGCAUUGACCCAGACUCUGCACAGUCAAUAAUGCAGGCCCAUUCUUGUGUUCUUUCAUAAUCUCAUGAUGCAAGGAGCCCCAAACUGCAAAUUAGAGUAAAUAGAAGGAAAUUUUCCAACUUGCAAAUAUAAAUCAGUCUGUGUUGUACCAAU